Molecule: ribosomal RNA, 468 nt
Filed under: uncultured bacterium
Lineage: Bacteria
Description: partial 16S ribosomal RNA
Rfam family: Bacterial small subunit ribosomal RNA
Source: RNAcentral
GAUGAACGCUGGCGGCGUGCCUAAUACAUGCAAGUCGAACGGAAAGGCCCUGCUCUUGCGGGGCGCUCGAGUGGCGAACGGGUGAGUAACACGCGUGUAUCCCCUCCCUGUCUUUGGGAUAACUCUAGGAAACAGCGGCUAAUAUCGGAUAGGAGCUCUUGCAGCACGUUGUGGGAUGGAAAGAUUCGGCGGUUGUGGAUCGACUCGCUGCUUAUGAGCUUGUUGGUGAGGUAGUGGCGUACGAAGGUUACGAAGGAUAGCCGGCCUGGGAGGGUGGCCGGCCACAAUAGGACUGAGAUACGGCCCAGACUCCUACGGGAGGCAGCGGUGGGAAGUAUUGCGCAGUGGGCGGGAGCCUGAUGCGGCAGCGCCGCGUGCGGGAUAACGGCCUACGAGUUGUAAACCGCUUUCGCCUGUAACGAGGCGUGAGUGACGGUAAUGGAUAAGAAAGCACCGGCUAACUACGUG